GAUGAACGCUGGCGGCGUGCCUAAUACAUGCAAGUCGAGCGAACAGACGAGGAGCUUGCUCCUCUGACGUUAGCGGCGGACGGGUGAGUAACACGUGGAUAACCUACCUAUAAGACUGGGAUAACUUCGGGAAACCGGAGCUAAUACCGGAUAAUAUAUUGAACCGCAUGGUUCAAUAGUGAAAGACGGUUUUGCUGUCACUUAUAGAUGGAUCCGCGCCGCAUUAGCUAGUUCGUAAGGUAACGGCUUACCAAGGCGACGAUGCGUAGCCGACCUGAGAGGGUGAUCGGCCACACUGGAACUGAGACACGGUCCAGACUCCUACGGGAGGCAGCAGUAGGGAAUCUUCCGCAAUGGGCGAAAGCCUGACGGAGCAACGCCGCGUGAGUGAUGAAGGUCUUCGGAUCGUAAAACUCUGUUAUUAGGGAAGAACAAAUGUGUAAGUAACUAUGCACGUCUUGACGGUACCUAAUCAGAAAGCCACGGCUAACUACGUG
Molecule: ribosomal RNA, 497 nt
Filed under: uncultured bacterium
Lineage: Bacteria
Description: partial 16S ribosomal RNA
Rfam family: Bacterial small subunit ribosomal RNA
Source: RNAcentral